Molecule: long non-coding RNA, 349 nt
Organism: Lontra canadensis (Northern American river otter)
Lineage: Eukaryota; Metazoa; Chordata; Mammalia; Carnivora; Mustelidae
Exons: 3
Source: RefSeq, a predicted model, not a curated record
AGCCGAGGCUCCUUUCCGGGCCUCACAACCCAGCAACAGCUUAAAACUAUAUGGCACCAGGAAAUCACACCAAGAUUAACCUCCUCCGACUGGGUCUGGCGGCCCCCUUUCUGAUGAUUAUGUCCUGGCUGAAGCCUGGCUUCCACAAGGAGCCUCUGCGCAGACCCAAACCCCACAGCUGUUGAGGGGAAUGAUGGGUGUUGAUGAAGUUGGACCCACUGACUGUGAACAGUUUCCAGUAGAAGGCGCAUUCUCACCUCCGCUGAGAGCCACUCUGGGACUCGAUGACGGUUUCCUCUUCUGUACUCCUCACCUGGGACAGAGAACAGGACAGCACGUAAGAAUUCAU